This 279-nucleotide ribosomal RNA is filed under the name uncultured bacterium. RNAcentral describes it as "partial 16S ribosomal RNA". It matches the Rfam family "Bacterial small subunit ribosomal RNA", at positions 506 to 784 of the family's 1533-position model. The record is from RNAcentral.
UGCCAGCCUCCGCGGUACUACUGAUUUUGCAAGCGUUAUCCGGAAUCAUUGGGUUUAAAGGGUCCGUAGGCGGGCUAUUAAGUCAGAGGUGAAAGUUUGCGGCUCAACCGUAAAAUUGCCUUUGAUACUGGUAGUCUUGAAUCAUUAUGAGGUGGUUAGAAUAUGUAGUGUAGCGGUGAAAUGCAUAGAUAUUACAUAGAAUACCAAUUGCGAAGGCAGAUCACUAAUAAUGUAUUGACGCUGAGGGACGAAAGCGUGGGGAGCGAACAGGAUUAGAUA